RNAcentral lists this ribosomal RNA (2133 nucleotides) under Salmonella enterica. Its description in RNAcentral is "partial 23S ribosomal RNA". It matches the Rfam family "Bacterial large subunit ribosomal RNA", at positions 901 to 2925 of the family's 2925-position model. The record is from RNAcentral. Lineage: Bacteria; Pseudomonadati; Pseudomonadota; Gammaproteobacteria; Enterobacterales; Enterobacteriaceae.
GGUAGAGCACUGUUUCGGCUAGGGGGCCAUCCCGGCUUACCAACCCGAUGCAAACUGCGAAUACCGGAGAAUGUUAUCACGGGAGACACACGGCGGGUGCUAACGUCCGUCGUGAAGAGGGAAACAACCCAGACCGCCAGCUAAGGUCCCAAAGUCAUGGUUAAGUGGGAAACGAUGUGGGAAGGCCCAGACAGCCAGGAUGUUGGCUUAGAAGCAGCCAUCAUUUAAAGAAAGCGUAAUAGCUCACUGGUCGAGUCGGCCUGCGCGGAAGAUGUAACGGGGCUAAACCAUGCACCGAAGCUGCGGCAGCGAACGUAUCACCCAAGACAACUUUACGGAGUUGACGAUUGACGGAGCGAAGCGACGUCAAAGCGUUCAUUAAAGUCGAGUUGGCUUAGGGAUACGUUCGUUGGGUAGGGGAGCGUUCUGUAAGCCUGUGAAGGUGUGUCGUGAGGCAUGCUGGAGGUAUCAGAAGUGCGAAUGCUGACAUAAGUAACGAUAAAGCGGGUGAAAAGCCCGCUCGCCGGAAGACCAAGGGUUCCUGUCCAACGUUAAUCGGGGCAGGGUGAGUCGACCCCUAAGGCGAGGCCGAAAGGCGUAGUCGAUGGGAAACGGGUUAAUAUUCCCGUACUUGGUGUUACUGCGAAGGGGGGACGGAGAAGGCUAUGUUGGCCGGGCGACGGUUGUCCCGGUUUAAGCGUGUAGGUGUGUGUUCCAGGUAAAUCCGGUUCACUUUAACACUGAGGCGUGACGACGAGGCACUACGGUGCUGAAGCAACAAAUGCCCUGCUUCCAGGAAAAGCCUCUAAGCAUCAGGUAACAUCAAAUCGUACCCCAAACCGACACAGGUGGUCAGGUAGAGAAUACCAAGGCGCUUGAGAGAACUCGGGUGAAGGAACUAGGCAAAAUGGUGCCGUAACUUCGGGAGAAGGCACGCUGACACGUAGGUGAAGUGAUUUACUCAUGGAGCUGAAGUCAGUCGAAGAUACCAGCUGGCUGCAACUGUUUAUUAAAAACACAGCACUGUGCAAACACGAAAGUGGACGUAUACGGUGUGACGCCUGCCCGGUGCCGGAAGGUUAAUUGAUGGGGUCAGCGCAAGCGAAGCUCCUGAUCGAAGCCCCGGUAAACGGCGGCCGUAACUAUAACGGUCCUAAGGUAGCGAAAUUCCUUGUCGGGUAAGUUCCGACCUGCACGAAUGGCGUAAUGAUGGCCAGGCUGUCUCCACCCGAGACUCAGUGAAAUUGAACUCGCUGUGAAGAUGCAGUGUACCCGCGGCAAGACGGAAAGACCCCGUGAACCUUUACUAUAGCUUGACACUGAACAUUGAGCCUUGAUGUGUAGGAUAGGUGGGAGGCUUUGAAGUGUGGACGCCAGUCUGCAUGGAGCCGACCUUGAAAUACCACCCUUUAAUGUUUGAUGUUCUAACGUGGACCCGUAAUCCGGGUUGCGGACAGUGUCUGGUGGGUAGUUUGACUGGGGCGGUCUCCUCCUAAAGAGUAACGGAGGAGCACGAAGGUUGGCUAAUCCUGGUCGGACAUCAGGAGGUUAGUGCAAUGGCAUAAGCCAGCUUGACUGCGAGCGUGACGGCGCGAGCAGGUGCGAAAGCAGGUCAUAGUGAUCCGGUGGUUCUGAAUGGAAGGGCCAUCGCUCAACGGAUAAAAGGUACUCCGGGGAUAACAGGCUGAUACCGCCCAAGAGUUCAUAUCGACGGCGGUGUUUGGCACCUCGAUGUCGGCUCAUCACAUCCUGGGGCUGAAGUAGGUCCCAAGGGUAUGGCUGUUCGCCAUUUAAAGUGGUACGCGAGCUGGGUUUAGAACGUCGUGAGACAGUUCGGUCCCUAUCUGCCGUGGGCGCUGGAGAACUGAGGGGGGCUGCUCCUAGUACGAGAGGACCGGAGUGGACGCAUCACUGGUGUUCGGGUUGUCAUGCCAAUGGCACUGCCCGGUAGCUAAAUGCGGAAGAGAUAAGUGCUGAAAGCAUCUAAGCACGAAACUUGCCCCGAGAUGAGUUCUCCCUGAGACUUAGAGUCUCCUGAAGGAACGUUGAAGACGACGACGUUGAUAGGCCGGGUGUGUAAGCGCAGCGAUGCGUUGAGCUAACCGGUACUAAUGAACCGUGAGGCUUAACCUU